UACGGGGGGGGCAAGCGUUGUUCGGAAUUACUGGGCGUAAAGGGCUCGUAGGCGGCCAACUAAGUCGGAUGUGAAAUCCCUCGGCUUAACCGGGGAACUGCGUCUGAUACUGGAUGGCUUGAGUUCGGGAGAGGGAUGCGGAAUUCCAGGUGUAGCGGUGAAAUGCGUAGAUAUCUGGAGGAACACCGGUGGCGAAGGCGGCAUCCUGGACCGACACUGACGCUGAGGAGCGAAAGCCAGGGGAGCAAACGGG
RNAcentral lists this ribosomal RNA (253 nucleotides) under uncultured bacterium. RNAcentral's name for it is "partial 16S ribosomal RNA". It matches the Rfam family "Bacterial small subunit ribosomal RNA", at positions 524 to 776 of the family's 1533-position model. The record is from RNAcentral.